Molecule: long non-coding RNA, 414 nt
Filed under: Nicotiana tabacum (common tobacco)
Lineage: Eukaryota; Viridiplantae; Streptophyta; Magnoliopsida; Solanales; Solanaceae
Description: long non-coding RNA (NTAB_LNC007628)
Source: RNAcentral
AAGCAUCCUUUUGUUUCCGCUUGCUGAGUGUUUUCAACAUGAGAUGGGAGAAGCUCAAAUGAGCUUUUCACUUCAUGAUUGCCCCCCGGUUUGCAUCUCUGGUUUAGUCAGCUAGGGAGAUUCUUCAAUGUGCCAUUUAAUAUCCAGAGCAACAGUGUCAGUGAUGGAGGUUCAGGUGCCAUAUUCUUUAGAGAUUGGCCAGUGUAUUUAUAUGCUCCACCUUCUCCUGUUCUGUGUCAUCCUUUUACUUAAUGCUUCCGUAAUCUGCUAUUGAAGCUUUGCUUGCAUGUUCUGCUUAUCAGUAAGGAAAGGUCAACCUGAUCCGAUUAAAGGAAGCCAUCUUCUUGAAAAGGCAUGCAUGCACUUUAUAGGAUUUCUUCUUUCAAGCCCUGGCAAUCAUCAGUUAUCGGGUAG